UACGAAGGGGGCUAGCGUUGUUCGGAAUUACUGGGCGUAAAGGGCGCGUAGGCGGCUCUGAUCGUCGGCUGUGAAAGGCCUGGGCUCAACCUGGGAACGGCAUCCGAUACGGCAGGGCUUGAGUGUGGGAGAGGUUGGUGGAAUUCCCAGUGUAGAGGUGAAAUUCGUAGAUAUUGGGAAGAACACCGGUGGCGAGGGCGGCCAACUGGACCACAACUGACGCUGAGGCGCGAAAGCGUGGGGAGCAAACAGG
Molecule: ribosomal RNA, 253 nt
Filed under: uncultured bacterium
Lineage: Bacteria
Description: partial 16S ribosomal RNA
Rfam family: Bacterial small subunit ribosomal RNA
Source: RNAcentral